GGCAGUUCUCAGGUGAUGCACCCCGGAAUCGGGCUCCCUCUCUGGUUCCAAGUGCGUCACCUGAGAACCACA
Molecule: non-coding RNA, 72 nt
Organism: Myotis brandtii (Brandt's bat)
Lineage: Eukaryota; Metazoa; Chordata; Mammalia; Chiroptera; Vespertilionidae
Source: Rfam